Molecule: ribosomal RNA, 253 nt
Filed under: uncultured bacterium
Lineage: Bacteria
Description: partial 16S ribosomal RNA
Rfam family: Bacterial small subunit ribosomal RNA
Source: RNAcentral
GACAGAGGUGCCAAGCGUUAGGCGGAAUCACUGGGCUUAAAGCGUGUGUAGGUGGAUUUGUAAGUACCUUGUGGAAUCCCAUGGCUCAACCAUGGAACUGCUCGGUAUACUGCGAAUCUUGAGCCACUUAGGGGCUACCGGAACAAAUGGUGGAGCGGUGAAAUGCGUAGAUAUCAUUUGGAACGCCAAUGGUGAAAACAGGUAGCUGGGAGUGUGCUGACACUGAGACACGAAAGCCAGGGGAGCGAACGGG